CUCGCUGUGGGAGCACAGUAGUCUUGCAGAGAGUAGUUUACAAUAGAACAGACCUAGAGCGGCCCACGUUAGACGAUGGGCAUCCAACCUUUGGCCACUGCUAUAUUUCUGAUGUCUGUAGCAUCUCUGACAAACUCAAUUCGCAAGUACCAGUCGCUGAACACUAGUCCGUAUCAGCAGAACGAGUACGCCUACUGGAACGCCUACAAUCCUCAAGGAUGGUAUACGCAUGACCAUGGCAGCUAUCACUUGCCGUUUUCCUUUAACCAUCCCAAAAUUGGAGGCAAUUGGGUCAUUGGGCCAAGAACUGACCGGAGCUGUUGCGCAGUGUGCCUUUGAGGAAAUCUUACCAGCGUAAGGCCAACCAGUGGUGACCGUAAGCGGUAUGACUGAAAUGUUGCAGUCAUGGAAGAAUUGACACUGCAGAUUGGCAAAUAAAACACUCUUCUGUUCCAUU
This is a long non-coding RNA of Dermacentor albipictus, 457 nucleotides long. RefSeq lists it as uncharacterized. Lineage: Eukaryota; Metazoa; Arthropoda; Arachnida; Ixodida; Ixodidae. The record is from RefSeq and is a predicted model, not a curated record.